RNAcentral lists this ribosomal RNA (468 nucleotides) under uncultured bacterium. RNAcentral's name for it is "partial 16S ribosomal RNA". It matches the Rfam family "Bacterial small subunit ribosomal RNA", at positions 28 to 507 of the family's 1533-position model. The record is from RNAcentral.
GACGAACGCUGGCGGCGUGCCUAAUACAUGCAAGUCGAACGGACAGGCCAUGAUCUUGUGGGGCGCACGAGAGCCGAGCGGGUGAGAAAAACGCGAGUAAAAUGCACUUGUCUUUGGGAUAAAUCUACGAGAAUGGGGCUAAUACAGGAUAGGAGCUACUGCUGCACGGUGGGGGUUGGAAAGAUUCGGCGGUUGUGGCUGGACUCGCGGCUUAUCAGCUUGUUGGUGGAGUUGUGGCUGACCAAGGCUACGACGGGUAGCAGGCCUGGGAGGGUGACCGGCCACAUUGGGACUGAGGUACGGCCCAGACUCCUACCGGACGCAGCAGUGGGGAAUAUUGCACAAUGGGCGGACGCCAGUGGCAGCAACGCCGCGUGCGUGAUGACGUCCUUCGGGUUGUGAACCGCUUUCGCCUGUGACGAAGCGUGAGUGACGGUAAUUGGUAAAGAAGCACCGGCUAACUACGUG